GAUCGGAUACUGGGCGUAAGCGCACGCAGGCGGUCUGUCAAGUCGGAUGUGAAAUCCCCGGGCUCAACCUGGGAACUGCAUCCGAAACUGGCAGGCUAGAGUCUUGUAGAGGGGGGUAGAAUUCCAGGUGUAGCGGUGAAAUGCGUACAGAUCUGGAGGAAUACCGGUGGCGAAGGCGGCCCCCUGGACAAAGACUGACGCUCAGGUGCGAAAGCGUGGGGAGCAAACAGGAUUAUAUACCCUGGUAGUCCACGCCGUAAACGAUGUCGACUUGGAGGUUGUGCCCUUGAGGCGUGGCUUCCGGAGCUAACGCGUUACUUCCACCGCCUGGGGAGUACGGCCGCAAGGUUAAAACUCAUAUGAAUUGAGGGGGGCCCGCACAACCGGUGGAGCAUGUGGUUUAAUUCGAUGCAACGCGAAAAAGCUUACCUACUCUUGACAUCCAGAGAACUUAGCAGAGAUGCUUUGGUGCCUUCGGGAACUCUGAGACAGGUGCUGCAUGGCUGUCGUCAGCUCGUGUUGUGAAAUGUUGGAUUAAGGCCCGCAACUAGCGCAACCGUUAUCCUUUGUUGCCAGCGGUUCGGCCGGUGAACUCAAACGAGACUGCCAGUGAUAAACUGGAGGAAGGUGGGGAUGACGUCAAGUCGUUCAUGCAGAUUACGAUUAGGGCUACGCACGAGCUACGAUGGCAUAUACCAAGAGAAGCUACCUCGCGAGAGCAGCGGAGCUCGUAAAGUAUGUCGUAGUCCGGAUUGCAGUCUGCUACUCGACUCCAUGACGUCGGAAUCGCUAGUAAUCGUGGAUCAGAAUGCCACGGUGAAUACGUUCCCGGACCUUGUACACACCGCCCCGUAACAAACU
RNAcentral lists this ribosomal RNA (861 nucleotides) under Citrobacter freundii. Its description in RNAcentral is "bacterial SSU rRNA". It matches the Rfam family "Bacterial small subunit ribosomal RNA", at positions 543 to 1405 of the family's 1533-position model. Lineage: Bacteria; Pseudomonadati; Pseudomonadota; Gammaproteobacteria; Enterobacterales; Enterobacteriaceae. The record is from RNAcentral.